UUCCAGCUCCCUGCCCCACAUCCACCCACUCUCCUCGGACCUCAGUUGGAGCUGGACCCCGACCCUAAGCAUGACAUAUUUGCACAGAUGGAAAAGCUGAGACACAGAGAAGUUCCUUGAGUUGCCUGAGAUCACAGAGCAGCAGGGCCAGGACCCGGUCCCAGGAAGUUCCACUGCAGGCCCGGCUCUAACCCUCAUCACUGUGGUGGUGGCCUUCAGUUUGAGUUGGGUCAGAAUGAUCAGGUCAUCAUUUUAUAAACCAGAGAAGAAAAUCGUUUCCAUUAAUGCUGAAUAUUGGUGCCACUGAAGUUAUAAUACCC
Molecule: long non-coding RNA, 320 nt
Organism: Homo sapiens (human)
Lineage: Eukaryota; Metazoa; Chordata; Mammalia; Primates; Hominidae
Exons: 3
Source: RefSeq, a predicted model, not a curated record